This 370-nucleotide unclassified non-coding RNA is filed under the name uncultured fungus. RNAcentral's name for it is "partial contains 5.8S ribosomal RNA, internal transcribed spacer 2, and large subunit ribosomal RNA". Lineage: Eukaryota; Fungi. The record is from RNAcentral.
AACGCAUAUUGCGCUCGAGGCUUCGGCCGAGAGCAUGUCUGCCUCAGCGUCGGGUUAAUACUCACACCCACACACCGUGUGACACAUGUAUACAUGUGUGUGUGGGCGUGGACCUGGCUGUUCCACAAUGUGCCGGGUGCCACACGACCACCGUGUGGGGCUCAAUGAGGCACGUGGAUCAGCUGAAGCGCAGAGGCUAGCCAAGGACCCGUGAAGGGCCGCAACUGGGUAGGCAGCUCACACGACAGCUCCACUCAUGCUUAGUUGUUGGCCUGGGUGACUGUGGCUCGGCCCUCCAACAGGAAGUGAUGACCUCACAUAUACUUAUUUCCUCGACCUGAGCUCAGGCAAGAACACCCGCUGAACUUAA